Molecule: transfer RNA, 73 nt
Filed under: Silverstoneia nubicola (Boquete rocket frog)
Lineage: Eukaryota; Metazoa; Chordata; Amphibia; Anura; Dendrobatidae
Description: tRNA-Asn
Source: RNAcentral
UAGAAUAAAGCUCGCUGGAUUGAGUGUUUAGCUGUUAAUUAAAAUUUUACGGGAUCGAGGCCCGUUAUUCUAG